RNAcentral lists this ribosomal RNA (654 nucleotides) under uncultured Bacteroidales bacterium. Its description in RNAcentral is "bacterial SSU rRNA". It matches the Rfam family "Bacterial small subunit ribosomal RNA", at positions 95 to 747 of the family's 1533-position model. The record is from RNAcentral. Lineage: Bacteria; Pseudomonadati; Bacteroidota; Bacteroidia; Bacteroidales.
CCGGCGCACGGGUGAGUAACACGUAUCCAACCUGCCGUCUACUCUUGGACAGCCUUCUGAAAGGAAGAUUAAUACAAGAUGGCAUCAUGAGUCCGCAUGUUCACAUGAUUAAAGGUAUUCCGGUAGACGAUGGGGAUGCGUUCCAUUAGAUAGUAGGCGGGGUAACGGCCCACCUAGUCUUCGAUGGAUAGGGGUUCUGAGAGGAAGGUCCCCCACAUUGGAACUGAGACACGGUCCAAACUCCUACGGGAGGCAGCAGUGAGGAAUAUUGGUCAAUGGGCGAGAGCCUGAACCAGCCAAGUAGCGUGAGGGAUGACUGCCCUAUGGGUUGUAAACUUCUUUUAUAAAGGAAUAAAGUCGGGUAUGCAUACCCGUUUGCAUGUACUUUAUGAAUAAGGAUCGGCUAACUCCGUGCCAGCAGCCGCGGUAAUACGGAGGAUUCGAGCGUUAUCCGGAUUUAUUGGGUUUAAAGGGAGCGUAGAUGGAUGUUUAAGUCAGUUGUGAAAGUUUGCGGCUCAACCGUAAAAUUGCAGUUGAUACUGGAUAUCUUGAGUGCAGUUGAGGCAGGCGGAAUUCGUGGUGUAGCGGUGAAAUGCUUAGAUAUCACGAAGAACUCCGAUUGCGAAGGCAGCCUGCUAAGCUGCAACUGACAUU